Molecule: long non-coding RNA, 2248 nt
Organism: Macrobrachium nipponense
Lineage: Eukaryota; Metazoa; Arthropoda; Malacostraca; Decapoda; Palaemonidae
Exons: 3
Source: RefSeq, a predicted model, not a curated record
GGACGGCGCUGCAGGCCGUUGCGGCCAUCGCGAAAGUUUUAACGCAAAUUGAAUAGGAUUUAGCCUGAUUUUUUCCAAUCCUGAUAAUAAUGGUACGAGCUCGGCUUAUAACUGCGAAGAUGGGAAAGAAGUUCUUCGAGAGAAACGCGACAUUUGACAGAAAAUUUGACGAAAUUAUCCAAUGUAUGCGAUAUGAUGUGAUGUGAGAGACCAUUCAUCGUGAGCUUCCUUCUUCCUGAGGCGGCAUGAGUCGGAAUCCUCGAACAAGGUCUCAAUACUUUCAAUACAAUGGAUGACAUAGCGUGUGACAUCAGAUAGUAACCCAGACAGUAUAACUUUCAAGUGAUCUACUACAAACUUACCAAAAGCAUUAGUAGUUGGAAAGUUUGGAAAGAUACCCUUAAAGACUUACAAGAAGCCAUCCAAAAUAGAACUAAGUUCUAUCACCCUUGAUCCUCUAAAGGAUGUCAAUAAUACCCUUCCCAGUCAACACUUGGCACUUUCUCUCAACUACUUGUGGAUAAAACUUUUCAGUUGAUAACUGUCCAUCAUGGAAGUGGUUCAUGCAAACUGCUGUGAGAGGUGCAAUGUAUGAGAAAAGAAGGAUUGAAAUCCUUCCAUUCAUUUGCAUGGUAUUAAGACCUGCUUUGUGACAUUCGACCAGCCAGCCAUUAAACAUAACAGGAGCAGAGAUUGUUGCUGCAUCUAUAGGUCUACCAGACGUAGUAGUUUGCGUGGGUGGUUUCCAUCUCCAGUGUCAUACCUUGGCUCAGUAGAUAUAUUAUGGGAGGCAGUGGUUUGGAUUACUACGUGGGAAACUGCAUAUGCUGCCGGAAUAGUAACACACAUGAUAACUGGACAUGAAUACGUUCGAGCUCCCAGAGCCCACAUAGUAUUGACAUCAGCUGUUUUGUUCUCCCUAUUGCUCCCAAACGGUGAAGAUGUAAAUGAUGAAAGUCAGAAAGAAAAAAUGAAUUCGCCACUUGAACAGCUUCUGGAUGGUGGCUGUGCCUGUACCACUGACAGUCUUCUUGGGAUGCUUCAAUCCGAAUCUUUAAGACUACUCUGGCCAAUAUCAUAGAUAAAGAAAAACAGAAAAAGCCUUACUGAAAAAUUAUGGAUCAACAAACUGGAACAAGUAUCCAUUCUGAAGAUGUUUCUGUAUGCCGAACGUAGUACAGGCGAUUGGAAGUUGCACUUGCAAUGCAUCAGGAGAAUGAUACCCUACUUUCACGCUGCUGGGCACCUUGCUUAUGCCGAGUGUGCCAGACUAUAUCUUCACAAAAUGGAGUCGCUAGAAUCCAAGAUGUCUGAAAUUGAUACUGAUGGUGGUUACUUUACUGUGAGAAAAAAGAUCGCCGGUGGAGUGGAAACUUCAUAGAUCAAACUAUUGGACAAAACCUCAUAAGCGCCUCAGUGGCGUGGUUGGUAUGGUGUUGGCGUCCCACCUCGGUGGUCGCGAGUUCGAUUCUCGGCCAUUCCAUUGAGGAGUGAGAGAUGUGUAUUUCUGGUGAUAGAAGUUCACUCUCAACGUGGUUCGGAAGUCACGUAAAGCCGCUGGUCCCGUUGCUGAAUAACCACUGGUUCCAUGCAACGUAAAAGCACCAAACAAACAAAACCAAAACCUCAUGUGAAUGUUUAAAAAAUCCUCAGAGGACAUGACUCGUGAACGUGGAAUUACUGAAAGUACUGUAACAAAGUGUAUCCGUGCAUUUCCCUACUUCAUUCCUCUCUGUGAAGUAAUUGAACAGACUACAAAUAUCCAUACAACAUCAUCUGAAAACUACAAUGAAUCACAACAACGUUCUGAGGUUCAAGACCACAAAGACCAAGCAACUAUUCUACAAUGGUUGAAUGCCCAUUCUCCUUUCACAUUCUCUAACCAGGCAUCACUAGUUGCUAUAUCCACAGGCCUGGUGGCAAAUGCAUCUCUUAACUGUGAUCGACCCCAUGAAAUAGGUGAUGCUGUGGCUACCUCAACAGAUGGUACUACUGUGUUCUCUGAUGUAAAGCUGAGGCGUUGUGAUCAAGUCAUGACCAUAAGUGGUUGUAUGAAUACAGUCAAGAUCCGUGGGCACUCGGUUGUUGUUAAUCUCACAUUGUUAUUUAACAUAAUAACCUGUGUCAUUCAGAGCAGUUCUGAUAUGGAUGGCGAUUUUUUUUAUUGCUACAACUGGAUUAACACUUGCGAGGUCAGAAUCAAAGCUAGUUAUGAUUGGUACUUACUGACACUGAUCUACUGGUCAUU